Molecule: ribosomal RNA, 484 nt
Filed under: uncultured bacterium
Lineage: Bacteria
Description: partial 16S ribosomal RNA
Rfam family: Bacterial small subunit ribosomal RNA
Source: RNAcentral
AUUGAACGCUGGCGGCAUGCUUUACACAUGCAAGUCGAACGGCAGCGCGGGCUUCGGCCUGGCUGCGAGUGGCGAACGGGUGUGUAAUGCAUCGGAACGUGCCCAGUAGUGGGGGAUAGCCCGGCGAAAGCCGGAUUAAUACCGCAUACGACCUGAGGGUGAAAGCGGGGGACCGAAAGGCCUCGCGCUAUUGGAGCGGCCGAUGUCGGAUUAGCUAGUUGGUGGGGUAAAGGCUUACCAAGGCGACGAUCCGUAGCUGGUCUGAGAGGACGACCAGCCACACUGGGACUGAGACACGGCCCAGACUCCUACGGGAGGCAGCAGUGGGGAAUUUUGGACAAUGGGGGCAACCCUGAUCCAGCCAUGCCGCGUGCGGGAAGAAGGCCUUCGGGUUGUAAACCGCUUUUGUUCGGGAAGAAAUCCUCUGGGCUAAUACCCCGGGGGGAUGACGGUACCGGAAGAAUAAGCACCGGCUAACUACGUG